ACUGCAGUGAUUGCUAUGUAUGCUAAAUGCAUAUACUUUAAAACUGCAAGUACUAUGUUACAAGAUAUGGAAGUUGGUGAUGUGGUUUCUUGGAAUUCGAUGGUUGUUAAGUGUGCUAGAGAAGUAAAGCAGUGUAGAUCAAACAACCUCGUUCUUGAACCAUCCUAGUUAAAUCAACAAUCUUUUCUUUUUUUUGUUAAUUUUAUUUUCCAACUUUUAUGUUAUAUCUAUAAAAUUUAGGAAUUUUAAUUUAAAAUCAACGGUUAAAUGAAACUAAUAUCAUCACAGUUUGGUAUAAUCCAUUGUUCUAAAAACGUGUUCUGCACGGCCGCGUACUCGCUGGAAAACCGUAAGUCAGCUGGUCACCACCGCGAUUUGAUACUAUUUGCUCAGUUAAUCACCAAAAUUUAUAAGUUCAUUGCUUUAUAGAUUUUAAAUUUGAUAUCACAUUCUAAGUUACGAUUUGUAUUAUUUAAACCAAAACUUACGAAAUUAAUACGAAAUAGACUGAAACUAAAAAAAAAAAAAAUAAUAGAAAACAGCUACAGGUUUCGCAUGAAGAAGGUGGAAGACGAGGGUAAUUUUGUCAAUUACCAUUUUAUUUAAUAUAAUUCUAAAAAAUAUUGUCCAAAAUGUUCAAUGUGACCGUGUUGGGUAGGCUAAUUAAGCUCAACAAAGGCUACUACACCACGGAUCCAAGAUGUGAUACUUAAUCUUAUUUAAUAUAUAAUCAUAUACUUAUUUAGAAAUCCUAAAAUAACUCCAAUUAAUCUCCGUAUAAUCUCUGAUUAAUUGAUUACGCGCUAGGUCCUACCCAGCCGCACACAUAACGCCUGGUGUAGUUUCGAACUGAGAGUAUAAUAUAUGUUAUUGGAUUGUAGAAUAUAAUAUUCUUAAUCGCAAUACUUGGAAUUUCUCUAGAAAAUAUAUUAUAUUUUGAAAAAUCGUUGCUAGUGCCACGUCAAUCAGUAAGGGUAAGUUUUAUUAUUAUGACACCUUAGCUUGGUAAUAUGCUAGUAAGGUUGUGUAAUUAAAUUGAUUCUCACAAAAUAGAUAGAAAGUUUUGAUUCAAAUUCUAACUUGGUUGUUGAAUAAAUUAGUUUUCAAAUUAGAUGCUUUUCAUUUUAAAUGGAGAAUGGCUAAAAUUAUCACAGUAACUGACAUAAAAAUAUGUGUAUAGAAGACAAUCAAAAAUAUAACAAUAAAGAUAUUCUUUUUAGUCAAACUUCUAUUAAUUUAUAUAGUUUAACAAAUUGGUUAUUUCUAUCUAGAGCAUCCUAUUUAAACCAACAAUCGAAUCUUUUAUACUAUUAAACUUGGAAAUUAGAAUUUAAAUUCAACUGAUAAUGAAUACAUAUUGACUUACCUUACUAUAAAAUCUAUCAGUUUUAAUUAAUUUCAAGAUAUUUUUCCUAUUUGUUUUUCAUGAUUUGUUUGUAUGAGUCAUCUUCUUUAUUAUAAGUUUACUCUUGAUUUCUUUCUAUGUUUUUCAAUUUGUGGUACUUUUGAAAAAUAUCUACAAAUCUAAUUUGUUAUAUAUAAGAUAUUCAUGGAUGCAAUACAACCUCAUCACUGUUCUUUAUUUUAAAUUUUUCGCUUUUUGUUGCAUCAUCAAAAAUGGCUAAAACCACAAUUCUUGCUAUUUUCAUGGUUGUUCUUGUUUUAGGGACGGUGAUGGAGUCACAAGGACAAGAAAUGUGUACUGAUUAUUCUAAAGGAUCAGCACUUUGCGAAGCUAAACCAUGUAAUGAUCAGUGUGUACGCAAGUAUAAUGGACAUGGCAGGUGCUUAGACACAAUGUGCGUCUGCACUUAUAUUUGUAAAACUUAAUUUUUAUUUGUUACUAAUAAACUAUCAUCAAAUAUUUUUAAAUAAAAAUGUGUGAAAAAGAAUAUCGCAAUUUUCUUA
Molecule: long non-coding RNA, 1908 nt
Organism: Brassica napus (rape)
Lineage: Eukaryota; Viridiplantae; Streptophyta; Magnoliopsida; Brassicales; Brassicaceae
Exons: 2
Source: RefSeq, a predicted model, not a curated record